UACAGAGGUCUCAAGCGUUGUUCGGAUUCAUUGGGCGUAAAGGGCGCGUAGGUGGUUCUGUAUGUCUACCGUGAAAGCGUACGGCUCAACCGUAUUUUGUCGGUAGAAACUGCAGGACUUGAGGCUGAGAGGAGCGUGGAAUUCCCAGUGUAGAGGUGAAAUUCGUAGAUAUUGGGAAGAACACCGGUGGCGAAGGCGGCGCUCUGGACCGAGACUGACGCUGAGGCGCGAAAGCGUGGGGAGCAAACAGG
RNAcentral lists this ribosomal RNA (251 nucleotides) under uncultured bacterium. Its description in RNAcentral is "partial 16S ribosomal RNA". It matches the Rfam family "Bacterial small subunit ribosomal RNA", at positions 524 to 776 of the family's 1533-position model. The record is from RNAcentral.